Molecule: ribosomal RNA, 371 nt
Filed under: uncultured organism
Description: partial 16S ribosomal RNA
Rfam family: Bacterial small subunit ribosomal RNA
Source: RNAcentral
GUAGGUGGCAAGCGUUGUCCGGAAUUAUUGGGCGUAAAGCGCGCGCAGGCGGUCCUUUAAGUCUGAUGUGAAAGCCCACGGCUCAACCGUGGAGGGUCAUUGGAAACUGGGGGACUUGAGUACAGAAGAGGAAAGCGGAAUUCCAAGUGUAGCGGUGAAAUGCGUAGAGAUUUGGAGGAACACCAGUGGCGAAGGCGGCUUUCUGGUCUGUAACUGACGCUGAGGCGCGAAAGCGUGGGGAGCAAACAGGAUUAGAUACCCUGGUAGUCCACGCCGUAAACGAUGAGUGCUAAGUGUUAGGGGUUUCCGCCCCCUUAGUGCUGCAGCUAACGCAUUAAGCACUCCGCCUGGGGAGUACGGCCGCAAGGCUA